CCUAGUGGCAGAAUCCUCUGUGCAUUUAGCGCAGCCCCUUGGAGAUAAAUGCCAAAUGUGUAGCUGGCAAAUGGCAGGAUUGUGGGCAAGAGGCAUGUCAGGGUGGGGCCAGGGGAUGUUCUCCAUUCUCCUGACUUCACAUUUACUCCAAACAGGGAGAUUUCAUCUGACUAGGGUAUGUGAGAGUCCAGUGAGAGCCAGUGCUGCUGAAAGGAUUUACAGAGAGGAGGACUUUCAUCUGUGUAUUCCCUCAAUGACCGCAAUGCAUGAGCCAAUCCUGUGUUAGAAAACACACAUCCCACAGCUCUUGAGCUCUAGAUCCCAGGGCAUGGCCUGAAAGCACAUGAUGCAGCAAACAUGCUGAAGUUAAACAGGACUGGGUCUGAUGAGUGCCUAAAUGGGAGAACACAUGGGACCACAUGUAUGCCAGCUGGACUCUGCCAGCAGAGAGGAGAAUAUAAAGGAUGUAAGGGAACCAGAAUUUAAGGUCUAUCAAAGGGGGUGAUUCUUUCCUAUACCCACUGUAAGUGAGAAUUUGGAACACAAAGCCUGAUUGGAGUGCUUCCAAGGAUCUCGAAGGGACUUCGGGGCAAAAUCCUAAUAUGAAUCAUGAAAGGCAAAAGAGAAAAUGAAGAUUUUCCCCACUCUGUGGAUGAAAGUGACUUCCAGAAAUAAAUCGGCACAUUUAAGAAACCUUAAAUGGAAAGACUUCUGUUUUAAAACAUAGUAGUGGUGAUGCUGACAAAAAUCACAUGCAACUUUUAUUUGCAAAAAGCAUCACAGUACAGUACCACCAAAGACUAUUCUGGAAUGUUAAGUUCAUUCCAGGCCAUAACCAGCACUUGAGGCAAUCCAAGGAGCCUCUUGGACUUCCAGAGAUAGCUAAAGAUAGUGCAAACUGCCUUAAACUGGAUGGAUCACUAGUCCAUCUAGCUCGCUAAUGUCUUCCCUGUCUGGCAGUGAUGUUCCAGGGGUUCAGGUUGGCACCUAGAGGGGUCCAGUGAGGCAGUUCACACGGUUAUGCGGCAA
Molecule: long non-coding RNA, 1029 nt
Organism: Hemicordylus capensis (graceful crag lizard)
Lineage: Eukaryota; Metazoa; Chordata; Lepidosauria; Squamata; Cordylidae
Exons: 4
Source: RefSeq, a predicted model, not a curated record